UGAGGAAUAUUGCGCAAUGGGCGAAAGCCUGACGCAGCGACGCCGCGUGGAGGAUGAAGGUUUUCGGAUUGUAAACUCCUGUUAAGUGGGAAGAAACGACAAAAUAUAAUACAUUUUGUAACUGACGGUACCAUUAAAGAAAGCACCGGCUAACUUCGUGCCAGCAGCCGCGGUAAUACGAGGGGUGCAAGCGUUAUUCGGAAUUAUUGGGCGUAAAGGGUGCGUAGGCGGCGUAUUAAGUCAACUGUUAAAACCUCCAGCCUAACUGGAGAUCAGCAGUAGAUACUGGUAUGCUAGAGGAUGGAAGGGAGAAGUGGAAUUCUUGGAGUAGCGGUGGAAUGCGUAGAUCUCAAGAGGAACACCAAUGGCGAAGGCAGCUUCUUGGUCCAUAUCUGACGCUGAUGCACGAAAAGCGUGGGGAGCAAACAGGAUUAGAUACCCUGGUAGUCCACGCCGUAAACGAUGAUCACUAGAUGUUAAUUCUGCUUGCAGAAUUAGUGUCGUAGCUAACGCGAUAAGUGAUCCGCCUGGGGACUACGGUCGCAAGAUUAAAACUCAAAGGAAUUGAC
Molecule: ribosomal RNA, 569 nt
Filed under: uncultured bacterium
Lineage: Bacteria
Description: partial 16S ribosomal RNA
Rfam family: Bacterial small subunit ribosomal RNA
Source: RNAcentral